GUCCAACUCCUGGGUGCAUAUGAAAGAUGAUGAGAGGGUACGAGAGAUCCUGCAGUCCAUGCAGAAGGCUGGCUCCAACACCCUGCAGGUGAUCUCGGAUUUUGACAUGACCCUUACAAGAUUUGAACAUAACGGGAAAAGAUGCCCUGAUUGUUAUAAUAUUCUUGAAAGAAGCAAUGUAAUCUCCAGUGACUCACAUCUACAAUAAAAGGGAAGGUGCGCUGCUCAACACCGGACAUUUCCAGGAGCUGCGCAC
Neolamprologus brichardi is the source of this 256-nucleotide non-coding RNA. The record is from RefSeq and is a predicted model, not a curated record. Lineage: Eukaryota; Metazoa; Chordata; Actinopteri; Cichliformes; Cichlidae.